GGUUUGAUUCUGGCUCAGAUUGAACGCUUUCGGCGGGAUGCUUUACAUGCAAGUCGAACGGCAGCACGGCUUCGGUCUGGUGGCGAGUGUGGCGAACGGGUGAGUAAUGUAUCGGAACGCCUAGUAGUGAUAACUACGCGAAAAAGUGUAGCCAAUACCGCAUACCGCCCUUCGGGGGAAAGCGGGGACCUUUCGGGCCUCGCACUAUUAGAGCGGCUUGAUAUCGGAUUAGCUAGUUGGUGGGGUAACGGCUCACUAUGACGAUCCGUGGCUGGUUUGAGAGGACGACCAGCCACAUCGGGACUGAGACACGGCCCAGACUCCUACGGGAGGCAGUGGGAAUUUUUGGACGUUGGGGUAACUUGAUCCAGCCAUUCCAAGUGUGUGCGAUGGUUGGGCUUCGGGUUGUAAAUAAUUUUUGGCAGGAAGAAACGGCACGUGGAUAAUACCUCGUGCAACUGACGGUACUGGAGAAUAGCACCGGCUAAUUCACGUGCCAGCAGCCGCGGUAAUACGUAGUGCAAGCGUUAAUCGGAAUACAUUGGCGUGAAGUGCAGCAGGCGGUUCGGAAAGAAAGAUGUGAAAUCCCAGAGCUUAACUUGAACUGCAUUUUUAAUCACUGAGCUAGAGUGUGUCAGGAGGGAGUGUGGAAUUCCGCGUGUAGCAGUGAAAUGCGUAGAUAUGCGGAGGAACACCGAUGGCGAAGGCAGCCCCUGGGAUAACACUGACGCUCAUGCACGAGCGUGGGAGCAAAACAGAUUAGAUAAUUGGUAGUCCACGCCCAACGAUGUCAAUUAGCUGUUGGGGCCUUCGGGCUCGGUAGCGCAGCUAACGGAAGUUGACUGCCUGGGGAGUACGGUCGCAAAGAUUAAACUCAAAGGACGACGGGGACCUGCACAAGCGGUGGAUGAUGUGGAUUAAUUCGAUGCAACGCGAAAAACCUUACCUACCCUUGACAUGUCUGGAACUCGAAGAGAUUUGGGAGUGCUCGCAAGAGAACCGAACACAGGUGCAACAUUGUUGUCGUCAGCUCGUGUCGUGAGAUGUUGGGUUAAGUCCCGCAACGAGCGCAACCCUUUGGUCAAUAGUUGCUACGAAAGGGCACUCUAAUGAGACUGCCGGUGACAAACCGAGGAAGGUGGGGAUGACGUCAAGUCCUCAUGGCCUCUGUGGGUAGGGCUUCACACGUCAUAACGGUCGGGACAGAGGGUCGCCAACCCGCGAGGGGAGCCAAUCCCAGAAACCCGAUCGUAGUCCGGAUCGCAGUCUGCACCCGACUGCGUGAAGUCGGAAUCGCUAGUAAUCAUGAUCAGCAGUCGCGUGAAUACGUUCCCGGGUCUGUACACCGCCCGUCACACCAUGUGGAGUGGGUUUUACCAGAAGUAGUUAGCCCAAACGUAUGAUAGGCGAUUACCAUUUGUAGGAUUCAUGACUGGGGUGAAGUCGUAAUAAGGCAGC
RNAcentral lists this ribosomal RNA (1458 nucleotides) under uncultured Bordetella sp. Its description in RNAcentral is "partial 16S-23S ribosomal RNA intergenic spacer". It matches the Rfam family "Bacterial small subunit ribosomal RNA". Lineage: Bacteria; Pseudomonadati; Pseudomonadota; Betaproteobacteria; Burkholderiales; Alcaligenaceae. The record is from RNAcentral.